GCACUUGUGGUUCAGUGGGAGAAUGUGUCGUUGCCAUCGAUAUGACCCGGGUUCGAUUCCCGGCAAGUGCA
Non-coding RNA from Dermatophagoides pteronyssinus (European house dust mite), 71 nucleotides. Lineage: Eukaryota; Metazoa; Arthropoda; Arachnida; Sarcoptiformes; Pyroglyphidae. The record is from the annotation of a RefSeq genome assembly.